AGGAUGAACGCUGGCGGCGUGCCUAACACAUGCAAGUCGAACGUCCUGUCUCGCAAGAGGCAGGGAGUGGCGGACGGGUGAGUACCACGUGGGUCAUCUACCGUGAGGUGAGGAAUACCGGCGAGAAAUCGCCGACAAGACCGCAUAGGCUCGAUGCAAGUCGAGCAAAGCUCUUUCGAGAGAGGGAGCGCCACACGAGGAGCCUGCGCCCGAUUAGCUAGCUGGUGGAGUAACGGUUCACCAGGGCGACGAUCGGUAGCUGGUCUGAGAGGACGAUCAGCCACACUGGGAUUGAGAACGGCCCAGACUCCUACGGGGGCAGCAGUGAGGAAUUUCGUCAAUGGGGGCAACCCUGAACGAGCAACGCCGCGUGCAGGAAGAAGGUUUUCGGAUCGUAAACUGCUUUUCUCGGGGAAGAGAACGGACGGUACCCGAGGAAUCGAGCCCCGGCUAACUACGUGCCAGCAGCCGC
This 472-nucleotide ribosomal RNA is filed under the name uncultured bacterium. Its description in RNAcentral is "SSU rRNA". It matches the Rfam family "Bacterial small subunit ribosomal RNA", at positions 26 to 518 of the family's 1533-position model. The record is from RNAcentral.